GGCUCUGUGGUGAAAUUCAUAGUGAGUUGCAAGCUCAUUGAUGCGUAUAAGAGUUACGCCGGAGUCU
RNAcentral lists this transfer RNA (67 nucleotides) under Eurypyga helias (sunbittern). RNAcentral describes it as "tRNA-Cys". The record is from RNAcentral. Lineage: Eukaryota; Metazoa; Chordata; Aves; Eurypygiformes; Eurypygidae.